Molecule: ribosomal RNA, 477 nt
Filed under: Klebsiella variicola
Lineage: Bacteria; Pseudomonadati; Pseudomonadota; Gammaproteobacteria; Enterobacterales; Enterobacteriaceae
Description: partial 23S ribosomal RNA
Rfam family: Bacterial large subunit ribosomal RNA
Source: RNAcentral
GUGGGUAGUUUGACUGGGGCGGUCUCCUCCCAAAGAGUAACGGAGGAGCACGAAGGUUAGCUAAUCCUGGUCGGACAUCAGGAGGUUAGUGCAAUGGCAUAAGCUAGCUUGACUGCGAGCGUGACGGCGCGAGCAGGUGCGAAAGCAGGUCAUAGUGAUCCGGUGGUUCUGAAUGGAAGGGCCAUCGCUCAACGGAUAAAAGGUACUCCGGGGAUAACAGGCUGAUACCGCCCAAGAGUUCAUAUCGACGGCGGUGUUUGGCACCUCGAUGUCGGCUCAUCACAUCCUGGGGCUGAAGUAGGUCCCAAGGGUAUGGCUGUUCGCCAUUUAAAGUGGUACGCGAGCUGGGUUUAGAACGUCGUGAGACAGUUCGGUCCCUAUCUGCCGUGGGCGCUGGAGAAUUGAGGGGGGCUGCUCCUAGUACGAGAGGACCGGAGUGGACGCAUCACUGGUGUUCGGGUUGUCAUGCCAAUGGCA